CCUACGGGCGGCAGCAGUGAGGAAUAUUGGUCAAUGGACGAGAGUCUGAACCAGCCAAGUAGCGUGAAGGAUGACUGCACUGUGGAUUGUAAACUUCUUUUGUAAAGGAAUAAAACGAGGCACGUGUGCCUUUUUGCGUGUACUUUAUGAAUAAGGAUCGGCUAACUCCGUGCCAGCAGCCGCGGUAAUACGGAGGAUCCGAGCGUUAUCCGGAUUUAUUGGGUUUAAAGGGAGCGUAGAUGGGUUGUUAAGUCAGUUGUGAAAGUUUGGGGCUCAACCGUAAAAGUGCAAUUGAUACUGGCAGUCUGGAGUACAGGUGAGGUAGGCGGAAUGCGCGGUGUAGCGGUGAAAUGCUUAGAUAUCACGCAGAACCCCGAUUGCGAAGGCAGCUUAACAAACCGUGACUGACACUGAUGCACGAAAGUGUGGGUAUCAAACAGGAUUAGAUACCCGUGUAGUC
This 460-nucleotide ribosomal RNA is filed under the name uncultured bacterium. Its description in RNAcentral is "partial 16S ribosomal RNA". It matches the Rfam family "Bacterial small subunit ribosomal RNA", at positions 338 to 795 of the family's 1533-position model. The record is from RNAcentral.